AUUGAACGCUGGCGGUAUGCCUUACACAUGCAAGUCGAACGGUAGAGGGGAAACCCUUGAGAGUGGCGAACGGGUGAGUAAUACAUCGGAACGUGCCCAGUCGUGGGGGAUAACGUAGCGAAAGCUACGCUAAUACCGCAUACGACCCGAGGGUGAAAGCGGGGGACUCGCAAGGGCCGCGCGUGAUUGGAGCGGCCGAUGGCAGAUUAGGUAGUUGGGGGGGUAAAGGCCCACCAAGCCUGCGAUCUGUAGCUGGUCUGAGAGGACGACCAGCCACACUGGGACUGAGACACGGCCCAGACUCCUACGGGAGGCAGCAGUGGGGAAUUUUGGACAAUGGGCGAAAGCCUGAUCCAGCCAUACCGCGUGCGGGAAGAAGGCCUUCGGGUUGUAAACCGCUUUUGUCAGGGAAGAAAUCUUCUGGGUUAAUACCUCGGGAGGAUGACGGUACCUGAAGAAUAAGCACCGGCUAACUACGUGCCAGCCGCCGCGGUAA
This 496-nucleotide ribosomal RNA is filed under the name uncultured bacterium. RNAcentral's name for it is "partial 16S ribosomal RNA". It matches the Rfam family "Bacterial small subunit ribosomal RNA", at positions 29 to 523 of the family's 1533-position model. The record is from RNAcentral.